This 297-nucleotide small RNA is filed under the name Pongo abelii (Sumatran orangutan). RNAcentral describes it as "processed transcript". The record is from RNAcentral. Lineage: Eukaryota; Metazoa; Chordata; Mammalia; Primates; Hominidae.
CACGGACAAGGGCCUGGAGCUGAUCGCUGAGCACCUGAGCCAGCUCACCGGCAUAGACCUGUACGGCUGCACCCGAAUCACCAAACGCGGCCUGGAGCGCAUCACGCAGCUGCCCUGCCUCAAGGGAUUGCUCUAAUUUUGCCUGGUGGAGUUGCCCUUACCAACCCAGAAUAUUUGGUCGUAUUUGCCAAGCCCUCCAGUUGAGGUGCAAAAGAAAGUAAGCUUGAGAUCUUAACUGAGCAGCACUAGAGUGGGGUAUGUUAAACCCCCACUCCCAAUAAAACAAUAGAAGUGGAA